This 844-nucleotide ribosomal RNA is filed under the name Escherichia coli. RNAcentral's name for it is "partial 23S ribosomal RNA". It matches the Rfam family "Bacterial large subunit ribosomal RNA", at positions 343 to 1191 of the family's 2925-position model. Lineage: Bacteria; Pseudomonadati; Pseudomonadota; Gammaproteobacteria; Enterobacterales; Enterobacteriaceae. The record is from RNAcentral.
UGGAAAGGCGCGCGAUACAGGGUGACAGCCCCGUACACAAAAAUGCACAUAUUGUGAGCUCGAUGAGUAGGGCGGGACACGUGGUAUCCUGUCUGAAUAUGGGGGGACCAUCCUCCAAGGCUAAAUACUCCUGACUGACCGAUAGUGAACCAGUACCGUGAGGGAAAGGCGAAAAGAACCCCGGCGAGGGGAGUGAAAAAGAACCUGAAACCGUGUACGUACAAGCAGUGGGAGCACGCUUAGGCGUGUGACUGCGUACCUUUUGUAUAAUGGGUCAGCGACUUAUAUUCUGUAGCAAGGUUAACCGAAUAGGGGAGCCGAAGGGAAACCGAGUCUUAACUGGGCGUUAAGUUGCAGGGUAUAGACCCGAAACCCGGUGAUCUAGCCAUGGGCAGGUUGAAGGUUGGGUAACACUAACUGGAGGACCGAACCGACUAAUGUUGAAAAAUUAGCGGAUGACUUGUGGCUGGGGGUGAAAGGCCAAUCAAACCGGGAGAUAGCUGGUUCUCCCCGAAAGCUAUUUAGGUAGCGCCUCGUGAAUUCAUCUCCGGGGGUAGAGCACUGUUUCGGCAAGGGGGUCAUCCCGACUUACCAACCCGAUGCAAACUGCGAAUACCGGAGAAUGUUAUCACGGGAGACACACGGCGGGUGCUAACGUCCGUCGUGAAGAGGGAAACAACCCAGACCGCCAGCUAAGGUCCCAAAGUCAUGGUUAAGUGGGAAACGAUGUGGGAAGGCCCAGACAGCCAGGAUGUUGGCUUAGAAGCAGCCAUCAUUUAAAGAAAGCGUAAUAGCUCACUGGUCGAGUCGGCCUGCGCGGAAGAUGUAACGGGGCUAAACCAUG